AAGUGUUGCGUCAGAAUCUGCUUUCAGCUUUGCAGGUGGAAUCAUAAGUGAUCAUCGUAGCAGUUUGAGCCCGAGGACUGUUGAGACAAUAAUGUGCUUGCAAGAUUGGUUUAGAGGAUCUAGUGUUGAUAGGGACAAACUGAUCACACAAACAGUUGAGGCUUUCAUCUAUUUUGACAAUGAAGCUGGGCAAGAAGAAGCUGCCCCUCAGGAACCCAGCAAAGUGAAGCACACGAAACUUUCAACUAGGAAUGAAGAAGCUGCCCCCCAGGAACCCAGCAAGGUGAAGCACUCGACCCAUUCAGCUGAAAACUCGAGUCGAAAGCGAGCUAAAGGAGGAGGAUCACAGACUCGUUGAGGUAAUAUUUUCUUCCAGUUGUGUUCUGUUCUAGAUAGUGAAAGAGAGAAAAUAAACUCUUGUUAACUCGGAGUGCAUAAAUAUUGCAUACGCUAAAUGAACCUGAAUGAUAAAUUAGAAAUAUGUCAGUAGGCUGUCAGUAUAUGAUUUGUAAAACUAUAGCAAUCUAAAUCCCAUCAAAUGGAAGUUGUGUGUUCGCUUUA
Long non-coding RNA from Brachypodium distachyon (stiff brome), 561 nucleotides. RefSeq lists it as uncharacterized. The transcript has 2 exons. Lineage: Eukaryota; Viridiplantae; Streptophyta; Magnoliopsida; Poales; Poaceae. The record is from RefSeq and is a predicted model, not a curated record.